GAUGAACGCUGGCGGCGUGCCUAAUACAUGCAAGUCGAGCGAACAGACGAGGAGCUUGCUCCUCUGACGUUAGCGGCGGACGGGUGAGUAACACGUGGAUAACCUACCUAUAAGACUGGGAUAACUUCGGGAAACCGGAGCUAAUACCGGAUAACAUGUUGAACCGCAUGGUUUAACAGUGAAAGACGGUCUUGAUGUCACUUAUAGAUGGAUCCGCGCCGCAUUAGCUAGUUGGUAAGGUAACGGCUUACCAAGGCAACGAUGCGUAGACGACCUGAGAGGGUGAUCGGCCACACUGGAACUGAGACACGGUCCAGACUCCUACGGGAGGCAGCAGUAGGGAAUCUUCCGCAAUGGGCGAAAGCCUGACGGAGCAACGCCGCGUGAGUGAAGAAGGUCUUCGGAUCGUAAAACUCUGUUAUUAGGGAAGAACAAAUGUGUAAGUAACUAUGCACGUCUUGACGGUACCUAAUCAGAAAGCCACGGCUAACUACGUG
This 497-nucleotide ribosomal RNA is filed under the name uncultured bacterium. RNAcentral describes it as "partial 16S ribosomal RNA". It matches the Rfam family "Bacterial small subunit ribosomal RNA", at positions 28 to 507 of the family's 1533-position model. The record is from RNAcentral.